Molecule: ribosomal RNA, 253 nt
Filed under: uncultured bacterium
Lineage: Bacteria
Description: partial 16S ribosomal RNA
Rfam family: Bacterial small subunit ribosomal RNA
Source: RNAcentral
UACGUAGGCAGCGAGCGUUGUUCGGAAUUACUGGGCGUAAAGGGCGCGUAGGCGGCCUUCUAAGUCGAACGUGAAAUCCCCGGGCUCAACCCGGGAACUGCGUCCGAUACUGGAAGGCUUGAAUCCGGGAGAGGGAUGCGGAAUUCCAGGUGUAGCGGUGAAAUGCGUAGAUAUCUGGAGGAACACCGGUGGCGAAGGCGGCAUCCUGGACCGGCAUUGACGCUGAGGCGCGAAAGCCAGGGGAGCAAACGGG